Molecule: transfer RNA, 74 nt
Filed under: Spirochaetota bacterium
Lineage: Bacteria; Pseudomonadati; Spirochaetota
Description: Spirochaetes bacterium tRNA-His
Rfam family: tRNA
About the family: Transfer RNA (tRNA) molecules are approximately 80 nucleotides in length. Their secondary structure includes four short double-helical elements and three loops (D, anti-codon, and T loops). Further hydrogen bonds mediate the characteristic L-shaped molecular structure. tRNAs have two regions of fundamental functional importance: the anti-codon, which is responsible for specific mRNA codon recognition, and the 3' end, to which the tRNAs corresponding amino acid is attached (by aminoacyl-tRNA synthetases). tRNAs cope with the degeneracy of the genetic code in two manners: having more than one tRNA (with a specific anti-codon) for a particular amino acid; and 'wobble' base-pairing, i.e. permitting non-standard base-pairing at the 3rd anti-codon position.
Source: RNAcentral
GUGAGUGUAGCUCAGUUGGUAGAGCAUUUGAUUGUGGUUCAAAAAGUCGCGAGUUCAAGCCUCGUCACUCACCC